This 475-nucleotide ribosomal RNA is filed under the name uncultured bacterium. RNAcentral's name for it is "bacterial SSU rRNA". It matches the Rfam family "Bacterial small subunit ribosomal RNA", at positions 29 to 480 of the family's 1533-position model. The record is from RNAcentral.
AACUAACGCUGGCGGCGUGCCUAACACAUGCAAGUCGUACGAGAAAGUUGGCUUCGGCCGAUGAGUAAAGUGGCGCACGGGUGAGUAACGCGUGGAUAAUCUACCCCUCAGUUGGGAAUAACUCAUCGAAAGGUGGGCUAAUACCGAAUAAUACUGCAUGACUUCUGUUGUGUAGUCAAAGAUGGCCUCUGCUUGCAAGCUAUCGCUGAAGGAUGAGUCCGCGUACCAUUAGCUAGUUGGUAGGGUAAUGGCCUACCAAGGCAACGAUGGUUAGCUGGUCUGAGAGGAUGAUCAGCCACACUGGAACUGAGACACGGUCCAGACUCCUACGGGAGGCAGCAGUGAGGAUAUUGCGCAAUGGGGGCAACCCUGACGCAGCAACGCCGCGUGAGUGAGGAAGGUUUUCGGACCGUUAAAGCUCGUCGAGCGGGAAGAAAUGCAUAGUGGCUAAUAUCCAUUAUGCUUGACGGUACCG